GGGGGCGUAAAGGUUUCGACGGGGACUUAGAUGUAUGGGAAGCGAGUAGCGGCGCGGAACCGCUAUAAAAUCCGCAGCUUAAAAAUAAACGACAACAAUAAUACUGUUGCUCUUGCUGCUUAAUUAAGCAGCCGUCCGGCCCCGACUGCCACCGGCGGGUAACCGGGCGUCACAUAGGUGGCGUACGUGAAUAAAUGUCUGCCCCAGCAUUUAUCAUGACUUAGGGGCUCCCCUUGUAUGCAGCUCGCCGGCGGGCGUCAUACAAGGUAAAUAAAAAAGCCGGAUGCACUCGGAGAAACCCAUAAGGAAGAGUUUUCGGACAGGAGUUCGAUUCUCCUCGCCUCCACCA
RNAcentral lists this transfer-messenger RNA (349 nucleotides) under Bacillota bacterium. RNAcentral's name for it is "Firmicutes bacterium (gut metagenome) transfer-messenger RNA". It matches the Rfam family "transfer-messenger RNA". From Rfam's summary of the family: Bacterial tmRNA, also known as 10Sa RNA or SsrA, is named for its dual tRNA and mRNA-like properties. Its role is to liberate the mRNA from a stalled ribosome. Lineage: Bacteria; Bacillati; Bacillota. RNAcentral also lists the same sequence under 2 other names. The record is from RNAcentral.